RNAcentral lists this ribosomal RNA (549 nucleotides) under uncultured bacterium. Its description in RNAcentral is "bacterial SSU rRNA". It matches the Rfam family "Bacterial small subunit ribosomal RNA", at positions 355 to 895 of the family's 1533-position model. The record is from RNAcentral.
UAGGGAAUCUUCGGCAAUGGACGGAAGUCUGACCGAGCAACGCCGCGUGAGUGAAGAAGGUUUUCGGAUCGUAAAGCUCUGUUGUAAGAGAAGAACGAGUGUGAGAGUGGAAAGUUCACACUGUGACGGUAUCUUACCAGAAAGGGACGGCUAACUACGUGCCAGCAGCCGCGGUAAUACGUAGGUCCCGAGCGUUGUCCGGAUUUAUUGGGCGUAAAGCGAGCGCAGGCGGUUAGAUAAGUCUGAAGUUAAAGGCUGUGGCUUAACCAUAGUAGGCUUUGGAAACUGUUUAACUUGAGUGCAAGAGGGGAGAGUGGAAUUCCAUGUGUAGCGGUGGAAUGCGUAGAUAUAUGGAGGAACACCGGUGGCGAAGGCGGCUCUCUGGCUUGUAACUGACGCUGAGGCUCGAAAGCGUGGGGAGCAAACAGGAUUAGAUACCCUGGUAGUCCACGCUGUAAACGAUGAGUGCUAGGUGUUAGACCCUUUCCGGGGUUUAGUGCCGUAGCUAACGCAUUAAGCACUCCGCCUGGGGAGUACGACCGCAAGGUU